GGAGGUUUCUGAGUUUGUGCUGAAAGCUGUAACAUGUAUUGAGGUUUGGUUUUGGUGUUUGUAACAUGCAGAGAUAUGAGAGGAGGAAGAGGCUGAAGGAGGAGCAACACUGUCACAGAGCAGAGCAGAAAAGGACUCCCACUGUCAGAUACAUUCAAUAUCUGAAGCAUACAGAACAGAUAGUGUGUGGAAGAUGCUGUCACUGCAUUACUGGCUCAUGUUUCCUUUGUUUCUGAUCACACUAACAGGUGUCAGCUGUGAUCAGCUCACUGCAGUCAAGGAUGAAGAGUCCACUUUAGAAGGAAACACUCUCACUCUGUCCUACAUUUAUCCCAAAAUUUCUCCUGGUAAUGACUUUUUUUGGUAUCAGCAAUAUCCAGGAAAACCACCAGAGUUCCUCAUCUACAUAUCAGGCAUGAAUAUUUCAAGAAAGUCAGAGUUUCUGAAAUCAGCUGCAAGAUUCUCCACAAAACUGUCUGGAAAAAACCGUCUGGAUCUUCAGAUCUCCUCUGCUGCAGUGACAGACUCUGCUGUGUACUACUGUGCUGUGAGGCCCACAGUGACAGGAAACACCAAAACUCUGUGCAAAAACCUUUGGAGCAAAGACAACAGAAUACUCCACAACAUCCACUAGAGGGAGCCACACACUGUUAAACCACUUUUUACUUUUUCAGCACUGUAUAUUUUUCUCUUCCACUGACUUCACUAUUUUGUGGGCUCUGCCCACAAAGGUCAAGUUCAACCAAUGAGAUGAUUUCUGUCUGCAGAGC
This is a non-coding RNA of Oreochromis niloticus (Nile tilapia), 770 nucleotides long. The record is from the annotation of a RefSeq genome assembly. Lineage: Eukaryota; Metazoa; Chordata; Actinopteri; Cichliformes; Cichlidae.